RNAcentral lists this small RNA (198 nucleotides) under Arabidopsis thaliana (thale cress). RNAcentral describes it as "ATSL191280". Lineage: Eukaryota; Viridiplantae; Streptophyta; Magnoliopsida; Brassicales; Brassicaceae. The record is from RNAcentral.
AAUAAUAUUACUUAUAUUAAUAAGUAUAAGAGAAGUCGGUGAUGAUUUAUGAAAUAUCGGUGUACACACUUGUACACCAACGAAUAAUGGUUAGUGUACAAAACGAUGUUUUAAAUGUUUGUGCAUUAUAAUGAUGACAGAUAAAUAGUGUAAAAGUCAAUGUAAUUUUUUAGAAAAAAGAAUAUUUCUUUUUUUUUA